UACGGGGGGAGCAAGCGUUGUUCGGAUUUACUGGGCGUAAAGGGCGCGUAGGCGGCGUGACAAGUCACUUGUGAAAUCUCCGGGCUUAACUCGGAACGGUCAAGUGAUACUGUCGUGCUAGAGUACAGAAGGGGCAACUGGAAUUCCUGGUGUAGCGGUGAAAUGCGCAGAUAUCAGGAGGAACACCAGCGGCGAAGGCGGCGCUCUGGGCCGGAACUGACGCUGAGGAGCGAAAGCGUGGGGAGCAAACAGG
RNAcentral lists this ribosomal RNA (253 nucleotides) under uncultured bacterium. Its description in RNAcentral is "partial 16S ribosomal RNA". It matches the Rfam family "Bacterial small subunit ribosomal RNA", at positions 524 to 776 of the family's 1533-position model. The record is from RNAcentral.